RNAcentral lists this long non-coding RNA (329 nucleotides) under Cricetulus griseus (Chinese hamster). RNAcentral's name for it is "lncRNA (ENSCGRG00000024683.1)". Lineage: Eukaryota; Metazoa; Chordata; Mammalia; Rodentia; Cricetidae. The record is from RNAcentral.
GAAACCUAAGAAUGGAAAAAUAUCAGUGCUACCCAAAGUUCCUGAGUCAAUCACAGUUCUGGAUUCUGUCACUCACAUAACUAGGAGAAAUGGAGAAAACAUUAUCUCCAGCCAGAUCCAGAAAGCAGCAUCCUGACACAGGUGGUGACACCCCACAGAUGAGACCUCAGCUCUGGGACCACCUCAGCACAGCUGAGAAUUCACAUAGACGAAGGGAGGCUUCAACUCAGCCGAGUCUCAACAGUCACACAUCUAAUAGGCACUGUCAAGAGUGACAUGAGAGGACUGGAGAGAUGGCUCAGUGGUGAAUUGAAUCCACUGUUCUUGCU